GAAAAAGUGCAGCAACCGACUUGGCUUAUUGUUUUGGAAAUUGCAACCGGUGCUCUCCUUCUUGUUUUUGUGAUCACUGGUGCUGUUACUGCCUCCAGAAGCUUCAAUCUAAAGCCUUCUAUAAGAAUAUCAUCAUGGAGUAGAUCAAAAAGUUGGAGCAACGAGAUAACAGUACUGAUUGAUUCUGAUAUGCUGAAAAGUUUGCCAAAGUUGAGUCACUAGGAACUUGAAGUAGUGUAUUAGGAUUUUAGCAACAUAAUUGGCUCAACUCUGGAGACUAUAGUCUACAAAGAAACAAUGAAGGAUGGACCUGAGGUUUCUGUCAUAUCAUUAUGCGCCUUUGAAGGUCAUUGGACUAGCCAGCAUGAGCUCUUUUACCAAAACAAGGUUAUUGAUCUGGCAAGGUUGAAUCAUGAGAACAUAGCAAAGUUUCUGGGCUAUUGCAGAGAGAGUGACCCAUUCUCGAGGAUGUUAAUCUUUGAAUGAAUGAAAAUAGCCAUCGACAUCGCCCAAGGUUUAAGGUAUUUGUACACCGAGUCGCAGCCUCCUUUCGCUAUAUCUGAGCUGAACUCCAAUUCAGUAUACGUUACAGAAGAUUUUAUAUACAAACUGAACUUUGAAAUCCACUUGACAAUUGCUCAUGACUUGAUAGAAAUCAUUCUUAUGAGCAGGCUGGCGACGUCGUCUAUUGAAGCCCCACCGGCGACACGACGGGACAGCUCCGACUUGUACGUGGGUGUGGGAAUGCAGAUCCGCGUUGCCAGCUUACACAAGGCCAUGCUCAACGCGCCGACGCAGGGUUUAUCGCCCGUCUUUGUCAGAUAA
Molecule: ribosomal RNA, 825 nt
Filed under: Triticum aestivum (bread wheat)
Lineage: Eukaryota; Viridiplantae; Streptophyta; Magnoliopsida; Poales; Poaceae
Description: partial small subunit ribosomal RNA
Source: RNAcentral